UUACCGAGGUAUAUCUGUAUCCGUAACCGUGUCCGAGAUGAGUAAGCGGAUAUGGAUAUGGUAGGCAUCAUAUCCGAACCAUAUCCGGACCGAAUGCACCCCCACCGAGAGCUCUUGAAGCGGCAGAUGAAUUGGGAUCAACGAUCAUAUGUGGAAAUUAAGACAGACCCCACAGUGAAGAUUUUGAUCUCUGAAAUAAAUAUUGGCUAUGAUGCAGUUUCUGUUUAGUUUUCAAUCUGAAUGAUUCUAAGAUCCUGAAGAUUCUGCUGCCCGAGCUUUCUUUUUGAUUGGAUUGUUUGGCCUCUUGUCAUCUUCAACCUAGCUCGGCCUAGCGAUGAUUUUUAUGUGGUAAUCUGAGUAUCACUCUGAAGACCAAUUGUUGUGCUUGGAGAUCACCUUGAUCCUUGGUUGUAUAAUAUUUUCAAAUUAGUCCCUCAAAUCAUUGAAUUUGCUGUUUAGUCCCUCAGAUUUAAUUCUAUCACACUUUAAGGGUAAAUUUCACUAAACCCUCAAGAACUUUGGCCAAGUUACCGGCCCUUCCCAAAUGCUAGGAAGAGGGUGACGAAAUGGGAGCAAACUAAUCAAGUGAGAGCUCUUGAAGCGGCAUAUGAAUUGGGAUCAAUGGUCACAAGUGGAAACGAAGAUAAAUCGGAAGCGAUGAUUUUGAUCUCUGAAACAGGUAUUGACUGUGAUGCAGAAUUUAUUUAGAUUUCAAUCUGAAAGAUUCUAAGAUCCUGAAGAUUCUGCUGCUCGAGCUCUCUUUUCCUCUCGUCGUCUUCAACCUAGCUUGGCCUCAUGAUGAUCUUUAUGCGGUAAUCUGAGUGCCGCUCUGAAGGCUGAUUUUUGUUUUUCCAAAAUUUAUCUUUUAACCCUUUUUUCACCUUUUCAUUCUCCAUACUCUAAUUGUUUUCAAAAUUUCUAUUUUUCUUGUCGAAUUAGUAUUUAUUUUUAAACUUGAGAGGAGGAAGCUUGAAUGGGUUCUAGGCAUUUGAAGCAUAAUCAAUUCCAUAUUCGUUGAUUAUUGUAGAUUUAGAUGAACAUUAGAUGGCAUUAAACUCUUUUGUUUUAUGUCUGUUCAGAUCAUGCAUUUCUAGAUAAAUCUUUUUUUUUCUUCCGCAAGACCAUGUGAAGUACAUGUAGCAACAAUUUUUAUCACCUAUGUUUUUUAUGAAUUAUUAGAAUAAUGAAACUGCCUACAACAAGCAUAUUAAUUUGUCAUUGGCAUAGAGCUUCAGGUCUUGACAUUUUCUGCAGCAACUCUGUGAGGUAAGUUAUAUCUUAAUCCUUUUUCUUGCCUUUUUACGUUUAUGUUAUGUGUGGUUAUGGUAGCUUUUGAGAUAGAGUCUAUAUAUGACUGAGUUUCAUUGAUUACCAAUAGCCGCAUGUUGAAAACAAAGGAGGGAAAAAUGAUUGAAAAAAAAGACUGUUUAGGGAUAUUUGCUUUCUGUUCCAAUGCAUGCAACAUGUGCCUGAAACUAAAAGAGCAUUAAUUUUAAUGCUAAUAAGAUUAGCAUUCACCUCAAAAUAUUUGCAUGCUGAUGCAGUGGUUAUAUCCUUCAAUCGUGUAGUUAACCUCUUGAAUGAAAGCAGCAACAUGUUCAGUUUUGCUCGGAUUAGAAUACGUAUUUGACUUGUUAUAGAAAACUUGAGAAUGGGAUGGAUAGCUUGCUACUAACCUAUCAUGUCCUUGAUCCUCUCACCUAUGGCUAAGGGUCCGUUUGGUUCAAGUUUUUUACCUUGGGUCUUGGGCAGAAAGCCUGCCAAAAGUGCCCUUUUGGCAAGCUUUCUGCCCAAGACCCAAGGUAAAAAUGCACUUUUGGCAGGCUUUCUGCCCAAGACCCAAGGUAAAAAGGCACUUUUGGCAGGCUUUCUGCCCAAGACCCAAGAUAAAAAACUUGAACCAAACGGGCCCUAAGAAUAAUGAUUGAGGUGAUUCUAGGGGAAGUUGAAUCCAAGGUAAGUAUGAAGGAAUGAUUCAUUGGAAAGAGGAAUCAAGCUUCUUUGGUGAAGAUGAUUGCAAGUUCCAGAGGAUUGUAAUUUUGAUGGAGAAUGGGCUCAUAUGAUGUGAACUUUACUACACUCAGUCAUUGUACUUUACUAUUGCCAGAGUGCAAUCUAUCUGGUUCAACUAUUGCGGAUAAUUCUGUCAUUUUGGCUUCUGUUAUUUUUCUACUCCUGUGCCAGAAUGAAUUUGGUGACAGGGUAGACCCUCUGACUCUGUAAGAGGAAGAAGUUGCUUAGAUCGAUCUAUUAAUAUAACAUAUUAUAACGUGUGAAGAGUAAUUAAGUCUUUCUAAUAUUGCUUCCCAAUAAAACUAGAGUUUAGCAUUACUGCUUCUAGUCGCGUGGAAAAUACAUUUGGAGAAAGAGUAGGCUCUGUAAGAGGAAGGUGUUGCUUAGAUAGGUCUACAGAUAUAACAGAUUAUUAUCAUCUACAUAGAGUUUUGGAUUCUUCUUAGUUUUCUUUCCAAUAAAAUUAGAUUUUAGUAUGUAAUGUUGGUCAUGGACACAUGGUGGUCUUAUAUGUUGGUAGAGCAAGUUAAUGUUCAUAUCAUUCCACGGUGGAGCCUCAGCUGCGAGCAGUGACAUUUGAAGAUGAUCAAAACUCAAAAGAGUGGAUUUCUGCAUGUACUGUUAAGAGUUAAAAUCAAGAUUGUGGCUGGUAUUUGGCAAUUUGAGAUCUAAAAUUUAGAGGAUACGGAGCCAUUGGGAUCCUUCAUCAUGAUCAGUCUUGAGGAAAUAAGAGAGAUUUAAAUCCCACUUGGCAAAAGGCUGCUACCAUUUUCUAGAAUUCCACUCCAUUUGCAUCGUUCCUCUUAAUUUGUUAAUGAUCAGCUGAUGCUGAAUGUAUUAAGAAUUAUGAUAAUGUAUUAUUUGAUGUACUCAUCAGUAAGCAGGUGUAGUAGUGUGGUUAUUAAUUUUUUUUUUUUGGCAUCAGUUGAGAAAACAAGUAGUAGAUUGGAUAAAAGAAAACUGCAGAAGCCAAUAAAUGUACUAUGAUUAUGUUUCGUGAAAUUUGUUCUCUUGGUUGUAUGGCGAUUAGAAAAAGGUAGUAAGAAAGAAUUUUCAGUAUUUGACGAUAA
This is a long non-coding RNA of Asparagus officinalis (garden asparagus), 3083 nucleotides long. RefSeq lists it as uncharacterized. The transcript has 2 exons. The record is from RefSeq and is a predicted model, not a curated record. NCBI's taxonomy places the organism in Eukaryota, Viridiplantae, Streptophyta, Magnoliopsida, Asparagales, Asparagaceae.